Molecule: ribosomal RNA, 252 nt
Filed under: uncultured prokaryote
Description: partial 16S rRNA
Rfam family: Archaeal small subunit ribosomal RNA
Source: RNAcentral
ACCGGAGGCUCGAGUGGUGGCCACUAUUACUGGGCUUAAAGCGUUCGUAGGUGGCUUGUUAAGUCUCUGGGGAAAUCUUCCGGCUCAACCGGAAGGCGUCUCAGGGAUACUGGCAGGCUAGGGACCGGAGGAGGUGAGAGGUACUCCAGGUGUAGGAGUGAAAUCCGGUGAGCCUGGGAGGACCACCUAAGGCGAAGGCGUCUCACCAGGACGGCUCCGACAGUGAGGAGCGAAAGCUGGGGAAUCAAACCG